Molecule: ribosomal RNA, 253 nt
Filed under: uncultured bacterium
Lineage: Bacteria
Description: partial 16S ribosomal RNA
Rfam family: Bacterial small subunit ribosomal RNA
Source: RNAcentral
UACGUAGGGUGCGAGCGUUAAUCGGAAUUACUGGGCGUAAAGCGUGCGCAGGCGGUUCUCCAAGUCCGUUGUGAAAGCCCCGGGCUCAACCUGGGAAUGGCAGUGAAAACUAGGGGACUGGAAUCUGGCAGAGGGGGGUGGAAUGCCGCGUGUAGCAGUGAAAUGCGUAGAGAUGCGGCGGAACACCGAUGGCGAAGGCAGCCCCCUGGGCUGAGAUUGACGCUCAGGCACGAAAGCGUGGGGAGCAAACAGG